RNAcentral lists this unclassified non-coding RNA (602 nucleotides) under Aspergillus tasmanicus. RNAcentral's name for it is "sequence contains ITS1, 5.8S rRNA gene, ITS2". The stretch from base 236 to 389 matches the Rfam family "5.8S ribosomal RNA". The record is from RNAcentral. Lineage: Eukaryota; Fungi; Ascomycota; Eurotiomycetes; Eurotiales; Aspergillaceae.
AAGUCGUAACAAGGUUUCCGUAGGUGAACCUGCGGAAGGAUCAUUACCGAGUGCGGGCCCUCUGGGUCCAACCUCCCCACCCGUGUCUAUUGUACCUUGUUGCUUCGGCGGGCCCGCCGUUUCGACGGCCGCCGGGGAGGCCCUCGCGCCCCCGGGCCCGCGCCCGCCGAAGACCCCCAACAUGAACGCUGUUCUGAAAGUAUGCAGUCUGAGUUUGAUUACCAUAAUCAGUUAAAACUUUCAACAACGGAUCUCUUGGUUCCGGCAUCGAUGAAGAACGCAGCGAAAUGCGAUAACUAAUGUGAAUUGCAGAAUUCAGUGAAUCAUCGAGUCUUUGAACGCACAUUGCGCCCCCUGGUAUUCCGGGGGGCAUGCCUGUCCGAGCGUCAUUGCUGCCCUCAAGCACGGCUUGUGUGUUGGGCCCCCGUCCCCGGUUCUCCCCGGGGACGGGCCCGAAAGGCAGCGGCGGCACCGCGUCCGGUCCUCGAGCGUAUGGGGCUUUGUCACCCGCUCUGUAGGCCCGGCCGGCGCCAGCCGACACCCCAACUUUAUUUUCUAAGGUUGACCUCGGAUCAGGUAGGGAUACCCGCUGAACUUAACAU